This is a long non-coding RNA of Mauremys mutica (yellowpond turtle), 1437 nucleotides long. RefSeq lists it as uncharacterized. NCBI's taxonomy places the organism in Eukaryota, Metazoa, Chordata, Testudines, Geoemydidae. The transcript has 6 exons. The record is from RefSeq and is a predicted model, not a curated record.
AGCACAGCCAGUUUUUCCUCCAGCGUUGGAACAGCUCACUGUUUCUUCAGUUGAGCACCAGACGAAGUAGUUGGCUUGCAUUUAGCAGCCAUGUUAUAUGAAAAAUACGUAUCUUUAAGCACUCAGUGCGGCGAGAUGCUCACACUGUGAUAGGCACGUGGGAACUGAGACUGACUGAGGGAACAGGAGAUUCAUGUCUCCCAUCUCACGCUCACUCCGGGGCAUACACUCAUUGGGUGGAAUCGCCCGCACUAUUUACAGGUGAUUUUUCUUCUCCUGACUGGUUGCAGAUUGAAAGUAAUGCCUAGCCCAACGGGUUCCUGGUCCACCAAUAGGGAUUGAAGGUGUUAGAGCAGAAUCAGUGCCAUUAAGGACCCCAUUCCAAGGUACUUAAGAUACAUGCUAGCCCCAUCUGAUAUCUGCAAGAAACUGUCUGACCUGAAAGUGAAAAUAAAAGCCAGGAAGAGAGCCACUGGGAGAAGUGGAGCUGAUAGUGCCCAAUCUGGAAGACUCCAACUACGAGCCAGAACAUGAAAGGCUCACAGAGGAAGGAGUAAGUACAGAGAGAAAAGAAAGGCUACAGAGGGUAAGGAAAACUGAAGAGAUGUGUAAGGAGAUAGCAGAGGAUUUCUUUUAAUAAGUUCUUUAUUUCCAUGCCGCAGAGUAGCACCGCAACCUACGCUCACGAGCAUCGUUCCCAAGCGGCUCUGGCAGCAGCAGUCCACCCAGGGCGACAGCCGAGUCUGCCACCCAGCCAGCAGGAGACCACCUCAGCAGCAGCCACACGGGCUUCUGUAUCUGGUACCUGAGGAGAAACUUCAUGUCAAGGGAAGCAGGCAGCCGCUUGAGCAGCAUCACAACACAGCCGCUCCAUGCCCGCCACCUACAAACCAUGCUCCCGAGCAUGGAGACAGAGCAGAAGGACCAAAGACAGUCUCAGAGGGAUUAAACUAAGAUUUCCUGUAAACCUAAUCUUUCUGUUUGCCCGUUUAUUCCUUUCAUGUAUGGGUUUGACGUGUAAAUAAAGCUGGAUGCUUGUGCUCUGGGUGAGAUCUGCUCCUACCCAUUUAGUAACUGCCAGGCCAGUGUUUACUAUAUGCUUAGUUUUAAGUAUUUAAUAUUGUUACAUGUUUGAUGGUUAUAUUGUUAUAAAGUAUAGAUUAAGUGAAUGAUUCUAUUGUUAUAUGCCAUAGAGUUAAUUGAAAUUGUUGUAGUGUUUCAUUUUUAUUUGCCACACUGCUUCAUUCCCUUUUUAACUGUAACCCUAUUUUAUCUCUCUGCUCUUUUACUGUAACCACUCACUUCUAAAUAUUUGUUUUUAAAGAAUUUACUACUUGUUUGCCUAUUCUUGAUCGGGGGGCUGUAUCCGUGUUCUUUCAAGGUAAAGUUAGCUAGCUGCAGCUUUCCCUGGAACUCCCUUUAGGGCAGACCACAAUU